This 486-nucleotide ribosomal RNA is filed under the name uncultured bacterium. Its description in RNAcentral is "bacterial SSU rRNA". It matches the Rfam family "Bacterial small subunit ribosomal RNA", at positions 29 to 514 of the family's 1533-position model. The record is from RNAcentral.
AUUGAACGCUGGCGGCAUGCCUUACACAUGCAAGUCGAACGGCAGCACGGGAGCAAUCCUGGUGGCGAGUGGCGAACGGGUGAGUAAUAUAUCGGAACGUGCCCAGUAGUGGGGGAUAACCCGGCGAAAGCCGGACUAAUACCGCAUACGACCUACGGGUGAAAGCAGGGGAUCGCAAGACCUUGCGCUAUCGGAGCGGCCGAUAUCAGAUUAGCUUGUUGGUGGGGUAAAAGACCUACCAAGGCGACGAUCUGUAGCUGGUCUGAGAGGACGACCAGCCACACUGGGACUGAGACACGGCCCAGACUCCUACGGGAGGCAGCGGUGGGGAAUUUUGGACAAUGGGCGCAAGCCUGAUCCAGCCAUGCCGCGUGCGGGAAGAAGGCCUCGGUUGUAACGCUUUGUCAGGAAGAACGGCUCGGGCGUAAUACCUCGGGCUAAUGACGGUACCUGAAGAAUAAGCACCGGCUAACUACGUGCCAGCAG